AGUUUGAUCCUGGCUCAGAUUGAACGCUGGCGGCAUGCUUUACACAUGCAAGUCGAACGGCAGCGCGGGCGUUCGGCCUGGCGGCGAGUGGCGAACGGGUGAGUAAUAUAUCGGAACGUACCCAAGAGUGGGGGAUAACGUAGCGAAAGUUACGCUAAUACCGCAUACGAUCUAAGGAUGAAAGCAGGGGAUCGCAAGACCUUGUGCUCCUGGAGCGGCCGAUAUCUGAUUAGCUAGUUGGUGGGGUAAAGGCCCACCAAGGCAACGAUCAGUAGCUGGUCUGAGAGGACGACCAGCCACACUGGAACUGAGACACGGUCCAGACUCCUACGGGAGGCAGCAGUGGGAAUUUUGGACAAUGGGCGCAAGCCUGAUCCAGCAAUGCCGCGUGAGUGAAGAAGGCCUUCGGGUUGUAAAGCUCUUUUGUCAGGGAAGAAAAGGUUGUGGCUAAUAUCCACAACUGCUGACGGUACCUGAAGAAUAAGCACCGGCUAACUACGUG
This 502-nucleotide ribosomal RNA is filed under the name uncultured bacterium. RNAcentral's name for it is "bacterial SSU rRNA". It matches the Rfam family "Bacterial small subunit ribosomal RNA", at positions 10 to 507 of the family's 1533-position model. The record is from RNAcentral.